CCAACCUUAGCUCAGUUGGUGGAGCGAAGGAUUGUAGUGGGUGUGUUUACCUCAAAGUAAUCCUUAGGUUGCUGGUUCGAAUCUGACGGUUCGGA
Molecule: transfer RNA, 95 nt
Filed under: Olea europaea subsp. europaea
Lineage: Eukaryota; Viridiplantae; Streptophyta; Magnoliopsida; Lamiales; Oleaceae
Description: tRNA.Tyr
Source: RNAcentral